This is a long non-coding RNA of Capsicum annuum, 475 nucleotides long. RefSeq lists it as uncharacterized. NCBI's taxonomy places the organism in Eukaryota, Viridiplantae, Streptophyta, Magnoliopsida, Solanales, Solanaceae. The transcript has 3 exons. The record is from RefSeq and is a predicted model, not a curated record.
UUCUCAAUCAUUAUAUAGAUAUUGUGUGCAAUGUUGUCAAUCGAAUACCCUUCCCCUUUCUCUCAGAUCUUCUUUGUUUGUGUAUUUUUAACCUACAUCUGUAUCACUGCUCACAUAUUGAAUGAAAACCCUCACCCCCAGUACGUGAUCUGCUUCCUUUAUUUUUUCCCCUAAAUCUCCUGAUAUGUUCUUAUUUAUAAUGUAAAGAUCAAUGAUUUGUGUGCUCUCAUUCCAAAACAAGUGCAAAUCGUUUCAUUAUUGUGUUAUACCUAUUCCCUCAAAAUGUAUAUCUGGAAAAAUUUCUUCUAUACAAUCUGCUUCAUGUAUUUCUUUCUUCACAUCAAAGGAGUUAUUGUCAUGGAAGAACAAACAUUCAAAAGUAUUUGUAGCACGUCGUUCGAGUAUCUAAGAGAUCUAUUUUGGUUGAAGGAAAGAUCAACGACUAUUAUCAUUAAUUGGUACUUCAUUUUUUAAG